This 1077-nucleotide long non-coding RNA is filed under the name Olea europaea subsp. europaea. The record is from RNAcentral. Lineage: Eukaryota; Viridiplantae; Streptophyta; Magnoliopsida; Lamiales; Oleaceae.
GUUUGAGAGAAAAUCAAGCUUCUUGUUUGCUUUGUGCUCUCGAUUUCUUCUUGUUCUUCUCUAACCUUUGUGGCUGCAAACACCAUCCCCUUUCUGUCCUAAGUGAGUACAAAUCUUGAGCAACCGGAGUGUGGGAAGAGUUUAAAGGUUUUGGUCGUGAUUACUUAGGUGUAUUGAUAAGGUUGAGAUUGGUAUCCUGAGCCUGAAAUUCCAUCAAUUGGAGGUCGAUUAUUCAACAUUUGGUAUCAGAGCGAGGUUGGGGUGGAAUUUCUGAUCAAAAUCUGACCAGAAUCGAAGCAGAAACCAAUUGGAUUAAACUAUCUAGAAUUUUUUACAAAAAAAUCAGACUUGCAACCUCAAUUUUUCGGCUAAUCCAGACGUCUUUUGAUAAAACGGAGGUCGGAUUUGUGAUCUGCAGGUGGAGGAGGUGCUGGGUGGUCGGUGUGUGUGUGUAUGUGUGUGUGACGGCGGUAGCGCGUGGGGGCACGUGUGUGAUCCUCCAGUGAAUACUUCUUUAGAGAUAAUUUUUCUAACGUGUUUUCUAACGAUUUUGUGUUGUUAGUUUUCAGUUUCAGGAUAUACAAAAAAAAGUUGAAUGAUUUUACCCCUGGACACUUGGCUAUUGGUUGUUGGACAUUCGUAUUGGCACAUUUGCUGAACUUUAGGGCGAAUAGUGGUGGCCCUAAAGCAGCAGACUUGCAUCUCUCGUAAUUUAUGGACUCAGAUAGGUCCGCUCUGAUAAAUUGACUAAAACCCUUACAUUAUAGCACGAGCAGAUCAUCAUGUGGGUGAUCAUUAGGAUUGAGGGUUGUCAUUGUUUGGCAACAAUCAUUACUUGUGCUAGAAAAUUUAGAAAUUAUCUGUACUAUUUGAAGUGUUGAAGUUGAUUGUAAGUUGGUAAUUAAUUUUGUGCUGUAACCGUCAUAUAGUUACUAUGUGAGACCGUAUUGCGUAAGAAUUUGAUUUUUUUGUUAACAUGUGUUGCAUUGAUUAUCCUAUUAGAACACCUCGACUUGACCAGUUCGAAAAUUUCCUAGAUCUAAGAUCUCGAAUCUUACGAAAACUUAGGAAUCUAGA